This is a long non-coding RNA of Equus caballus (horse), 3512 nucleotides long. NCBI's taxonomy places the organism in Eukaryota, Metazoa, Chordata, Mammalia, Perissodactyla, Equidae. The record is from Ensembl.
GGUGGCUAUAGGUCACAUGCUGGCUUUCCACCACUCUAACUCCAGCUCCUGUUACACUUCUCUUUACACAGUUGAUAUCUUUUCUUCCCCUCAGCAACUGUGAGUUAGAUAUUAUCUGCACUUUAUGUUACAAACAAAGCUCAGAGAAGUGAAGUGAUUUUUCCACGUCAGAAUGGAGAGCAGGCUUCCAGGAGGGUGAAGAGCAGGGCUGCCAUGUUGCUUCAGACCAUGGUGAACCAACCUCAGGGAAAACAGAAGGAAGAGGAAAGAUUCUCAUUGCGGAGGGAAAUCUCUACAAGCAGCCUGUUAAGUAGUAAAUGUUACUGCUGUGCCUGAACGGAGUUAUCAUCCACGGGAAGCGUCAGCUGAUAAGGUGUACAACACAGAGUAGGUCGUCCCACCUGCUGAGCUUGGAGGCAAUUCCUUCAUCAUCUGGGGAGAUGUGCAUUCAACAUCAUCGUCCUUCCUCUCCUCCAAAUGCAACCUUGGUUUGCACGGUAGUUGGGCCUAUUCUGGAUGUCGGCUCUGGAAAUUCCACUCCAUCUACUCUGAGUGAAAACGGACUUGGUUGGGAGAAUCUCAGGAUGUGUGGCUGAAUCCAGCCUCAGAAAUAAAGCCAGGCAGCAGGACCAGAGCUGGCCUGGGGUGCUGUUCCAAGCCGGGAGUCUUUGCUCUGUGUCACUUAUUCAUGCUUCUCUCUUUGCUGUUCUGUCUUGCUGUAGUCCAGCUUUCUCAGUUUCCCAGUUCUCGUGGUGGGACGUGGUCACCUCUACCAGCUCCCAAGGGUCCAUGCUACAGCCCAGCCAUCUAGAGAGAGUCUGCCCUCUUCCCCGAAUGCAGCAUCCCUCCCCAGACCAGUCCACUGUAAGCAGGGGGUAGGUCACACUUUAACAUGGAACUUUGGCUGCAACUCUAUGGAUGGGGUGAGGAAGGAUGAAUUUCUAGAAAAGCAAUAGUAGGAAGAUAACCCAAGAGAUGUCCAUUGCAUUGCUAGCAAGAGCCCAGAUUCACCCCACAAAUGGAUAGCAAGCUCAGGGACUCCCGCCAUCUUGUAAUUCAAGUUCUGACAUUGAAGCCCAUAAAUACCUACAAAUGAAAAGGGGCUGUGAAGGACAGAGAGCGUGUAUUUCUGAUUCCAUGUGGAGCUGUGACCAGAUCUGAGUCCCGCACACUCACCACCUCAUUCUCAGAGCUUGUGCUGUUGAUUUAGUCUUGGGGGCAUCACUCCUCGACCCAAACCAGGUUUCCUUUCCCCUCUUUGGCCCGGCUCCUCACUAAGUAAUAUCCACAAUAUACCAGGGGCUUGCAGCCACAGUGAUGAAGCUGCUGCCCCUCGAAAACAUUGCUUCUCUACAUUAUCUCUCAGCCUCCCAACAACCCCAUCUUCUAGAUGUGGACUUGAGGCUCACAGAGGUUGAGCAAUUUGCUAAGGUCAUAUUGAUAGGAAGAAGGGAACUGGGACUGGCUCUCACACAUUUCUAGCUCUACAGCCUUUAUUUAUUUCAUAACACUACACUAGUCCCUCCACACAACAACACAUCUCAAGACCAGGGUGUCAGCAAGAGAAAACAGGGAAACAAUGGACAAGAAAAUGGGCCCGUAAUUUCUACAUUCGAAAAAGGAUGUAGAAAUGCACGGGUGGACCCGACGUCUGCUGGAUUCUUAGUUGCUGUGGCCUCAGGUUGGCUUAGAACUGUGUUCCAUAACUGCGGAAGCUCAUAGUCCUCUUCUGGAUGGGGUGGAUUUCCAGGGGGCUUUUGGGCCCAUUUUCCCCUUGUCACUCAGGUUCUGUGGCCCAUGGGUGCUUUCUACGUGGGACAUAGCAUUGACCCAGACAUGAAAACACAUUCCUUUUCUUAGGUAACAUCCUGAGCCUAAGUAAAACACAUCCACACAAAGUUUUCCACUAUUGCGAACAUAGUAAUCUUCCCGGAGGAUGUGGAGGUGGGCUGAAGACGGGUUUCUACCCGUCUACACAGUCAGUCUAAGGUUUGACAUUAGUCACUCCCAUACUUACAUUAUCUUAUGGUCAUCACAUCCAGGGACAUUUCCACUCACUCCUCACCCCAUAGAGUCCCCUCACCACUUGCCAUCUGCAGAACUCCCCUCUCUCCCUCUCCUACCUUUUCUUGAGUGUCAGGGUAAAACACGCGGUCUUCUCAUUUUCUAAUGCUAAUAGCUGCUAGAUGCAAACCGGCUCACUAUUCUGAGCCUAUCUUAUAGUCCCUGGGUGGAACCAGAGCCUCUGCUCGUGGAAAGCCCCCUCCCCUCUCUGCCCUGGGGCCGCUCUCUCCAUUCUCCCCAGGUCUAGCAUCCUCUGUCCACCUGGAGCUGAAGCCGCUCACAUCAGUACCUGCUGUUGGAAGUCAUCUUUCUCUGACAGCACUAGCUUGGCCCUCCUGCCUGGAGCCUCCAGAAGCAGCCAUCCCUGAGGAGAGAGAGAAGGCAUUUCCUCCAGGUGGAGCAGCCAAGAAGAAAAGCUCCUCCAGCUAAUGAUCUCUCCACAUUGGCGGCAGGAGGAGACGAUGGUUUCUGGCAGCCCCUGGUGUACAUUAUUUCAACUCCCUGACCAACAAGAAAGAAAGAGUGUUGUGAUCAUUGGUUCACGUGAUAAUGCUGAGGGCGGAAAGCUCCCCCUAGACCACGAUUUCUGUUCAAUGUGAUGGAGGCAAAGGGGACAACUCCUGUAAACUGACAGCACUUACCGGUUAUGCUCUCCUGCAUGAGCACCAAGGACCUGGCCACGUGAGUGUGACCAUCAGACCCCGGCAGGGGUCAACACCGGUCAUAGGCCUGCAGAGCUGGGCCGAAGAGCAACGCCGAUCACAGCAGGAACAGCAGUUUUAGAAGCUCCAGGCGCUAAGUGUUCUACACGUGUUAUCUUCCUUGACUCUCCGAGCAGCUCUGGAAGCAAAUUCCUACGUCUGAAAAUGCGAGCUUGCGCAUGGGGUGGGUGCCGCUAUUUCCUCGGGCUGCGCACAGUGCGUGGGCGCAGGCCGAUUCCUGGGCCUCUUCGGUUGCUCUGUGACCCGCACGCUGGGCCUCUCUAGGCCAGGGGAUCUCUCUAAGCUGUUCACGGUGGUGAUGGUGACAGGCCUUCCAAAACCAGCCUGGAAAAAAGUGCCAAGAGCCCACCUCACUGUCAUCUCAGGACAAAAUAACUGAGCUCUGAGAGAGGGUCUGUCACUGUUCCAGAUUCUUAAGGAGAGUCCAGGAACGUGGAAGAAGUUCAGAACUGCUCUGCCUGUGAAGAGGCAGGGUGCGUCAAGACUCAGCUGGAUGGAAGGAUGGCAAUGGCGUGGGUCAUCCUUGCCAUUGUAGCAACAGGUCUCAAUUACUGAGCGCCCGCCGCAGGCCGGGCACUGUACCUGAGCCAGUGGGGCGUAUUGUCAUCCUAGACCCCUGUAGUCUUCGUGACCAUCCUCCCAGUGGGUGUUAGCAAGCCUUUUACAGGGUAAAGUCCUGAGGCCAGAGUGUAAAUACCUGGACAGGGUCCUACAGAGAGCGAGUGG